Molecule: ribosomal RNA, 378 nt
Filed under: Triticum aestivum (bread wheat)
Lineage: Eukaryota; Viridiplantae; Streptophyta; Magnoliopsida; Poales; Poaceae
Description: partial small subunit ribosomal RNA
Source: RNAcentral
AUGAGGGUGCUCAAUCUAGUUCAGACUCGCACUGCCAGGCUAAGAACCUCCCUAUACGCUGAUGACGCCAGAAUUUUUGCCAACCCGAACAAGGAGGAGUUACUGGCCAUCCGUCACAUCCUGGAUGUUUUCGCCGAAGCCACUGGACUAAGAACAAAUCUUGAAAAGACCGAAGUCUUCCCCAUCCGCUGCGAGCACAUUGACCUGGUUGACACUCUUUCGGUCUUCCCAGCCAAGCUGACCACCUUCCCCGGAAAAUACCUCGGUCUCCCCCUACACAUCCGACGUCUUCGGAAGGUGGACUUGCAACCUCUCAUUGACAAGUUCGGCGCUCGCAUCCCGGGCUGGAAGGGAAGAAACCUUACGCGGGCUGGCCGG